Molecule: long non-coding RNA, 4301 nt
Filed under: Oncorhynchus kisutch (coho salmon)
Lineage: Eukaryota; Metazoa; Chordata; Actinopteri; Salmoniformes; Salmonidae
Description: lncRNA (ENSOKIG00005044223.1)
Source: RNAcentral
UAAACAUGUCUGUGUCAUCCUACUUUGACAUAAUCUGUAUAAUAUAAUUUCUAAUCUAUUCUCUUUUAAAGACCAUCCUCUGAUGAUUCAUCUGACCCCUCAGUGCUGCUCUAUCAACUCUGGACAACUUUGCUGAGCAGUGAGACAGAGAUGGACUUCACCAGCUUACUUGGCCUCUGUGGAAAUGAGUUGCACCUUCCAGUCCAGGGUGAAAAACGAGUGUUUGAGAGAGCAGAAGAAGUGAUGAAACAGAGUCUAGAGAAGUUUCAUCUCUGUCUACACUGGGAUCAGAGAACUGUUCUCAGUGAAGCUCUCAGCAAGACCAUUUUAAAUUGUCUACCUAAUAUCACCAAACUCAGGUUUACCCCUCUACAACAUCAAAGAGGAUCCCCUGAAAAACUGGAGACAGACGACAAAGCAGUCCUACUAGAUUUGUGUCUACAAGCAGCACUAGAUCACAGAGAAACAUUCCAGAGAACUGUGAAUACAUUGCUGUCACUGUUCUCUGUGUAUCAAACUGAGAGAUAUGACAUCCUGCUGGAUCUGUACUCUCAUGUGAAGGACUAUGAGACUCAAACAGGCAGGAGAGUCCUUCCAGCAUUACAGCCAGUUUACCAGUCAGCUCCUGCAGUCUGGUCCAUAGACCUCUCAGAGGGAAAGACCUCCCUCCUCCUAGAAGUGCUGAAACUCCAACCAGAGAAGAAACCAGUAGAGCUGAAAGACUGGUCAGACGAAGAGAGUGAAGUGAGGAGAUUCCUUCAGUGUCUGCCCUACAUCUCCCAGCUGAGGUGAGUUGGAUCAGUACAGUUCAGAUAUUGUAGUUGUCUUAUAGAGGAAGCCUGUAGAUUUCUGCAGUAACUUAACAAACUAAACAGAAACAUACUGUUUGGAAAAUAUGCAAUCUUUGCGGUCAGGAUUUUAAAGAACAAUUGAAGUGAAUGAUGAGAUUAGAAAGAUAGUCAUUGUAUUUUACCCACCAUAAUAUCACCAUCAGAAAUGCAUAUCAUAUCUCUCACAUAUUCAUCUAUUUGUUGUUAAACUGUCCUUGGAGUUUUACUCCACCACAGGGUCAGAGAAGAUCCCCUGAAGACAAGGAGAGAGAAGACAUUCCUACUGAAUCUGUGUCUUCAAGCAGCUCUCCUUGAGAGAGGAACCAUACAAACAACUGUAGAGAAAGUGUUGUCACUGUCUGAAGUAUAUCACAUUCAGAAAUGUGAUUUCCUGCUGGAUCUGUACUCACAUGUGAAGGACUAUGAGACUCAAACAGGCAGGAGAGUCCUUCCAGCAUUACAGCCAGUUUACCAGUCAGCCAGUCCUGCAGUCUGGUACAUAGACCUCUCAGAGAGAAAGGCCUCCCUCCUCCUAGAAGUGCUGAAACUCCAACCAGAGAAUCACACAGUGUCAGAUUGUCUGGAUCAGCUGUUACUGUCCUUGUUGCAGCUUUAAUCCGUGGUGGCCUGAUCCCUCAAAGCAGAUCAAGUUCCUGGUGGAUCUCCUGUCUCAAGCAGCAGAGUGGGAGGAGCAGACAGGAGAGAAGACACUGAAGCUGGUAUCAUCAGUGUGGACUUACAGCACCUUUCCUUUUCUCAGUGGAGACACUUCUAAACAGAGUGAUUUCCUGUUGGAUCUGUACUCACAUGUGCUGGACUAUGAGACUCAAACAGGCAGGAGUGUCCUUCCAGCAUUACAGCCAGUUUACCAGUCAGCUCCUGCAGUCUGGUCCAUAGACCUCUCAGAGAGAAAGGCCUCCCUCCUCCUAGAAGUGCUGAAACUCCAACCAGAGAAGAAACCAGUAGUCCUGAAGGUUUGUUCAGAUGAAGAGAGUGAAGUGAGGAGUUUCCUUCAGUGUCUGGCCUACAUCUCACAGCUGAGGUGAGUCUGAACAUGUGUAGUGGUUAGUGAUUAUGUCAUGCUAGUGGUUAUUAUCUUCUAGAAACAUUUGACAUAUUAAACUUCAAGUGUUGGUAAAUCUUGUAGCAGUAUUGUUAGAGAGGGGUAAAGGUAGAGAUUUUGUUGGGACGCCAGGCAGGUAUUAACCCUGUAGAAAGGAAAAGAGUAGGAGAGAGAGAGACCCACUACCAGACAAACACACAUCAGCAGAAGAGACUGUCUAGAGUGUAGCCUGUUAGCCAGAUAGCCAGUGGAGAGAAAAUAUAAGACACACCAUAUAAAACACCCAUCACAGCACAGGGGGAACCCCACCAAUAAUACCUCAUACAAUAAUGAUGGCAGAGCAAUUUAACGGCAACUUCAUAGAAACAAUUUACAAGAAAGAACCCAGUCAUCAACAUGAGAGGAUUUGCAGUAAUCUGUAUUACCUCCCAGUGGAGGAGUGCAGAGGGUAUGAAUGGUGGGGGGUCAUAGACAGACAAAGGCCUUAAAAUGUCCAAAAUCUUCUGGGCCACAUGUCAUUAGUACCAUAUAUAUAUAUACAGUUCAAAUAACAAGACACAAUAAACUGUCAAGAAACCUCCCUUUAACUAAAAUGUCAACCCAAAUACGUCUGGCAGGGCAAUGAUAGUCCAGCCACGCUGAACCUCAAAGGGAAGAGCAUUGAAAACAAUGAUAAAGUCUGCUGCUGUUUAAAGCACUGGAGAGAGAGAGAGAGAGAGAGGAGAGAGAGGGGGGAGAGAGAGAGAGAGAGGGAUGAGAGAGAGAGGCAUGAGAGAGAGGGAAGAGAGUGAGAGGGGGAGAGAGAGACAGGAGAGAGAAGUGAGAGAGAAUGAGGAGAGAGAGAGAGGGAAAAGAGAGAAGAGAGAGAGGAGAGGGAAGAGAGAGGAGGGAGAGGGAAGAGAGAGGAGGGAGAGGGAAGGGAGAGGGAAUAGAGAGAGGGAAGAGAGAGAAGAAAGAGGGGAGAGAGAGCUAAGAGAGUGAGGGAAGGAGGAGAGAGAGGGAGAGAGGGCGGGGGUAGAGUGGGAAGACGAGGGGGGAGAUACAAGGAGAGAGAGAGAGAAUGAGGGAGAGAGCUAAGAGAGAGUGAGGGAUGGAAGAGAGAGGGGAAAAGGGUAGAGAGAGUGGGGGAGAGGAGAGAGAGAGGGCGAGGGGGAGAGUGGAAAGAGGAGGGGGGAGAGAAAAGGAAAGAGAGAGAGAGGAUAUAGAGAGGUAAGAGAGAGAGAGAGAGAGGUUAGAGAGGGAUGAGGGGGUAAGAGGGAGGAGAGAGAGAGAGGGAAGGGAGAGAGAGGUAGGGAAUAGAGGAGAUCGUAGAGAGAGAAGAGAGGUGGGGAAGCGAGGACGAGAGGGAGAGGGAAUAGGGAAGAGGGAAGAGAGGGGGAGAGAGUGAAGAGAGAGAGAGGGGGAAGAGUUAGAGAGGGGGGAGAGAGGGAAUAGAGGGAAGAGAGAGAGAGAGAAGAGAGAGAGACACUAAGGGAAAAUAAACCAGAGUUGUGCAGCAUCACACACUAUCAAUCUGCCCCCCCAGAGAGUCUCCUUUCUGACUGCUGAUGCAAAGUGGCAGCACACGGUGAAGGCUCCGUAUAAAACUACACAUGUUGGUGAAUCUGGGAACAUUUAUCAGCCCAUUUCCUGACAUAACUAAUGUUGCAUUCCUAAAUGUCACAGGUAAAUAAUGUGAAUAUCUUUCAAAUUAAAUACUUUGACAAAUAACCAAAGCACAUUAUUAGGGGCAGAAAGCAGUAGUAGUUAGAGUGUCAACCCACUGUUCCUAGGCCGUCAUUGAAAAUAAGAAUUUGUUCUAGUUAAAUGAAGGUAAAAUAUGUAUAUUUUUAAGUUGUAUAACUACUUCAUAUCUUUAACUAUGACUGUUUUCAUGUGUUCAUCCACUUCUGAAUCAGCUGUUACUGUCCUUGUUGCAGUUUCCAUCCAUGGUGGUCUGAUCCCUCAAAGCAGAUCAAGUUCCUGGUGGAUCUCCUGUCUCAAGCAGCUGAGUGGGAGGAGCAGACAGGAGAGAAGACACUGAAGCUGGUAUCAUCAGUGUGUACUUACAGCACCUUUCCUUAUUGCCAUGGAGACAAUUCUAAACAGAGUGAUUUCCUGUUGGAUCUGUACUCACAUGUGAAGGACUCUGAGACUCAAACAGGCAGGAGUGUCCUUCCAGCAUUACAGCCAGUUUACCAGUCAGCCAGUCCUGCAGUCUGGUACAUAGACCUCUCAGAGAGAAAGGCCUCCCUCCUCCUAGAAGUGCUGAAACUCCAACCAGAGAAGAAAGCAGUAGAGCUGAAGGGCUGGUCAGAUGAAGAGUGUGAAGUGAGGAGUUUCCUUCGGUGUCUGUCCUACAUCUCACAGCUGAGGUGAGUCUGAACAUGUGUGGUGGUUAUGUGAUGCCAGUAACAUUUAUACCAAGA